UACGUAGGGCGCAAGCGUUAUCCGGAAUUAUUGGGCGUAAAGAGCUCGUAGGCGGUUUGUCGCGUCUGCCGUGAAAGUCCGGGGCUCAACUCCGGAUCUGCGGUGGGUACGGGCAGACUAGAGUGAUGUAGGGGAGACUGGAAUUCCUGGUGUAGCGGUGGAAUGCGCAGAUAUCAGGAGGAACACCGGUGGCGAAGGCGGGUCUCUGGGCAGUAACUGACGCUGAGGAGCGAAAGCGUGGGGAGCGAACAGG
RNAcentral lists this ribosomal RNA (253 nucleotides) under uncultured bacterium. RNAcentral's name for it is "partial 16S ribosomal RNA". It matches the Rfam family "Bacterial small subunit ribosomal RNA", at positions 524 to 776 of the family's 1533-position model. The record is from RNAcentral.